UUUCACCCUCAGAGGGAACCGAGACUCGGAAAGUAAUAGAGAAAUUGGCCCACUUUGUGGCAGAAGAAGGCCCCGCGAUAGAAAAAAGUAGCUAUAGAGGACUACAAGGAAAACCCGGCAUUUGCAUUUUUGCAGGAUAAGAAUAGCAGAGAAUUUCUCUACUACAGAAAGAAGGUGGCUGAGAUAAGAAAGGAAGCACAGAAGUCGCAGGCAGCCUCUCAAAAAGUUUCACUCCCAGAGGAUGAAGAGGUCAAGAACCUUGCAGGGAAGUUGGCCAGGUUCGUAGUAGACUGGCAUCCGGAGGUGGAAACCAUCGCCCUCCAGAACAACUGUGAGAACCAGGCAUUCAGCUUUCUGUACGAGACUAACAGCCAAGGAUACAAGUACUACCGAUAGAAGCGGGAGGAGUUCCGGAAAGCCAAGGCCGGCUCCACAGGCAGCCUCAGGGCACCCGACCCCGGCCUGAAGCCCAAGUCCCCUCCUGAGGCCCUGUUAGGGUCUUGCCUCCGGCCACCACUUGUCCCAUCUCGUCCCCGCCUGCGCCUCCCGCCCCCCGUUCUCCGUCAUCCCUGCUCCAGCCGCUCCAGGGAAGCCAGCCUCGGCAGCCACCGUGAAGAGGAAGCGGAAGAGCCGGUGGAGGCCAGAAGAGAAUAAGGCAGAACUCCCACCUGCUGAGCUGGUGCAGAGGGACGUGGACGCCUCUCCCUCGCCUCUGUCAGUUCAGGACCGCAAGGGGUUCGGCUAUAAGAAGGGGAAGCCCGUGGGUCUAGUGGGCGUCACGGAGCUGUCGGACGCCCAGAAGCAGCAGCCGAAGGAGCAGCAGGAGAUGCAGCAGAUAUACGACAUGAUCAUGCAGCACAAGCGGGCCAUGCAGGACAUGCAGCACCAGCACGGCUACCACAGCGACGAGGAGGUGGACAGCGAGCUGGGCACCUGGAAGCACCAGCUGCGGCGCAUGGAGAUGGACAAGACCAGGAAAUGGGCCAAGCAGCUGACAAAGGUGGGCUAGGGCAAGCAUUUCAUGGGAGACUUCCUGCCUCCCGACGAGCUGGAGAAGUUCUGGAAAUCCUCAAGGCCCUGAAGGAGAGCCGUGAGCCUGACUACUCGGAGUACAAGGAGUUCAGGCUGACUGUGGAGAACACUGGCUAUCAGAUGCUGAUGAAGAUGGGCUGGAAGGAAGGCGAGGGGCUGGGCUCGGAGGGCCAGGGCAUCAAGAACCCAGUCAACAAGGCCACCACCACAGUGGAAGGUGCCGGCUUCAGCAUUGACCGGCUGGCCGAGUUCUCCAAGGAGGACGACGAGUACGAGGCCUUCCGCAAGAAGAUGAUGCUGGCCUACCGCUUCCGGCCCAACCCCCUGAACAAUCCCAGACGGCCUUACUACUGA
This 1386-nucleotide long non-coding RNA is filed under the name Homo sapiens (human). RNAcentral's name for it is "non-protein coding lnc-ATXN7L3B-7:1". Lineage: Eukaryota; Metazoa; Chordata; Mammalia; Primates; Hominidae. The record is from RNAcentral.